RNAcentral lists this long non-coding RNA (16561 nucleotides) under Nicotiana tabacum (common tobacco). RNAcentral describes it as "long non-coding RNA (NTAB_LNC005277)". Lineage: Eukaryota; Viridiplantae; Streptophyta; Magnoliopsida; Solanales; Solanaceae. The record is from RNAcentral.
AAUAUAUAAAGACAACAAAUAUGAAUAGCGAUCAAAUUGGUCAGAUUUUAUUUUGACCAACUAAUUUUUCUCACGUUUAUCUCUCUCUUCUUCUUCGACCACUAGAGUUUUCUCUCGUUUGAUCCGCCAUAACUCACAAUUGCUCCAAGUUAACAUGGUAUCAGAGCGAGAAUCUAGACUCCUCUCAUCGUGAGCUUUCUUCCGGUUGUACCCUUGCCAGAAGUUUUUGUCGUUUUGGUUUCGAUCGACGACGGCGGUGGUCGAAACAGUGUUCAUAUUCUUUCCAUCAGAGAAAUUUGGGGUUUUUCAACAUCGAUCCUUGCUUGAGGUAUAUCUCUUCUGAAAUUUUGAUUUUCACGGAAGUAUCAUCAAAUUUGUGAAGAACAACUCUUUCUAGAGUUUGCGAUUAAACGAGACCUUACUUUUUCGAGUUUUCAGAAGAAGGCUGGUAAUUUACUCUCUCCUAUUGCAUGUGUUGUAUCUCUGUUUGUCUCUAUUGUUCUCAACUCAAUUUAACUUCUAUGUUGUGUAUUUGUUAUGACUGGAUGUAAAAUGGGUAGUAUACUGGAUAAUAAUGAUGUGUCUCUCACUUCUGAUAGUUUCACUCCCUUCUCAUUGGAUCUAUCUCACCCUCUAUAUAUUCAUCCGUCUGAUAACCCUGAUAGUCUAUUGGCGUCUGUACCAUUCAAUAGGCCUAGUUUGGUGCUUUGGAGAAGUAGUAUGAUUACAUCUCUCUCUGCAAAGAAUAAGUUAGGCCUUGUAGAUGGUAGAAUCUCCAAGCCUACAUCAGAUUCCCCUUAUUAUGCAUAUUGGGAAAGAUGUAAUAACAUGGUCAAGGCCUGAAUAACAAGUUCAGUAUCUAGAGAGAUUGCUACCAGUGUGAUGUGCUUUAAUACUGCCAAGGAAUAAUAGGUUUGGGCAGUCAAACGGGCCCAAAUACAUUCAAAUUCAAAGGGAAGUCCAUUUCACUACUCAGAGGCCUCCUAUUUGACAAAAAUAAUAAGCCUCUGAGAUGAGAUGCAUUCCUCCUAUGUAGGACCUGUAUGCUCUUGUGGAGCCUUUCCUAAGUUCAUAGAAGAUCAAUAAUUAUUUCAAUUCCUAAAUGGCCUAAAUGACUCAUACUCAACUGUAAAGAGUGUUAUUAUGAUGAUGAAUCCCAUUCCACCCAUGAGCAAGGCAUAUUCCCUUCUUCAACAAGAUGAGAGUCAAAUGGAAGCUCAUUUUUCUGCUCUAAAUUUUUCUGGAAAUAUAGCUUAUUUCUUGGUUUCUCCUAGUUUAUCCAAUGGGAACAAGACUUUUAGUCAGAAGGUGAAUUUUGAAUCCGGGAGGACUAACAAACCUGUUUCUUGAAAGUAUUACAAGAAACCUGGAUACACUGCGGAUAAAUAUUAUAGACUCCUUGGAUUUCCUCUAGACUUCAAGUUCACAAAGAACAAGAAGUCUGCUUCAUGUGUCCAGACUGAACCUUCUUUUACUUCUUCUACACAUGCAUGUGCAUCGCCAACUACACAAUUUUUUGAGCCAUCAGUUCAUGGAUUCACUAGAGAGCAGUACCAAAACCUUCUGACCUUGUUUCAGCAGGCUAUUUAUCCUCUGGGUCUACUCAUGAUGGUUCCACUGUGGACAACACAUCUUUUGCAUAUUGUGCAGGUUUGUUUAGUAGUUAUGAUGUAGGUUAUGUGGAUUCUCAUGUAUGUGCUUCAUCAUAGUUAGAUGUAAAUCCUUGGAUAUUAGAUACAUGUGUCACUAAUCAUAUGACUCCACAUAGACACCUACUCUUUAAUGUACAACCAUUAACCAAAUCAUUCCUUGUCACCUUGCCUAAUGGAUAUAAAGCCAAAGUUAUUUUCACUAGCUCAUUACAUCUCAGACAUGAUAUAGUUUUGCUUCAUGUCCUUCUUGUUCCAUCUUUUCAUUUCAAUUUGAUUUAUGUGUAUCAACUCAUCUGUCAGCUAGAUUGUUUAGUUUUAUUUACCAAAUCACUCUGCUCUUUACAAAGCCCUUCUCUGAAGAGGCCACUGGAAAUUAGUAAGACUGCAUGAAGGCUAUACUAUCUCUAUCCAGAUGCUGACCUUUUUCCUACUACAUCCACUUCUAUGUCUAUUUCUACUUCAUGUACUUCUUUGCAUGUUUCUGUUCCUUCUGUUAAAGCUAGUAAUGUAAUAGAUCAUGUUGUUGAUGUUGUUUUCUGUAAUCACUCAUCUAUUUCUAAUAAAGUGAAUUUGUUUUGGCAUCAAAGACUGGGGCAUAUGCCUUUUCACAAAAUGAAGUCUAUUAUGUACUUGUAUGACAAAGUUUCAUCUAAACAAACUUUCUUUUGUCCUGUGUGUCUAAUGGCUAGACGAUAAAGAUUACCUUUUCUUGAAAGUGUAAUACAUUCCACUGUCCCAUUUCAAAUAGUCCACGUUGAUAUUUGGGGUUCAUAUAAUACUAAAACUUACAACGGAUUCAGAUAUUUCUUGACUCUAGUAGAUGAUUAUACAAAGGCUAUCUGGACCCAUCUUCUUUCUUUUGUAAAAGCAAUGCACUUUUCAUCAUUAAAGCUUUCACUGCUAUGGUCAAAGUGCAUUUUAAAUCCUUUAUCCAAACUUUUAUAUUAGAUAAUUCUCUUGAACUUGGUAGUAGCCCUAGGGGCAUCACUUUUUUCAAUAGUGAAGAGAUUUUACACCUAAUUACUAUUCCACAUACUCUCCAAAGAUGGGACGACUGUAUCCUAACUACCACCUAUCUCAUCAAUAGAAUUCCUUCAGUUGUUAUUAAGAAUCUAUCACCCUAUGAAAAAUUACAUGGGAUUCCUCCGUCCUAUGACCACCUCAAGUCUUUUGGGUGUUUAUGUUUUGCUACCUCUCCCAAGGUAGGCAGAGAUAAAUUUUAGUCUAGGGUCAUACCUUUUAUUUUUUUUGGGGUACCCUUGUGGCAAAAAGGGUUACAAGCUUCCUAACAUUUCCAAUCAUUCUAUUUUCUUCUCUAGGGAUGUAGUUUUCUAUGAACAUAUGUUUCCUUAUAAGUCUGAUUCUUCUCCUAUUUUGUCUCCUUCUCCUCUUUCUGAUCCUAUAGAUUCCAUACCUCCUCCUGCCUCUUUUAUCCCUAGCAAUGAUACUUUCCCUUCUGAUAUUCCUCCUUUCAAUCCAACUCCUAGUCCUUCUACUCCACCCUCUACUUCUCCUGUUUAUCAUUCUCCAGUUUCUCUGCUUGAUCCUUCUUCCCUAUGAUUCUUCCUCUCCUCCUUCUAUUCUUCCUUUGAGAAGAUAUUCCAGACCAGUCCAACAACGUAUCCACCUUAAAGAUUAUAUUUGCUCUUAUGUUCUUUCACCUACAUCCAUUUUACCUUCCAAGGUAUCCGCUGUUGAUUUGCAUAUUCAUGUUGAGUUCUACCAGCAGCUUGCUUCCAAUUCUGCUUGGAAAGAGGUCAUGCUAAAGGAAUUUCAGGCUCUUGAGGCAAAUUAGACAUGGGACAUUGUGCCUCCUCCCCCUCAUAAGAAAGCUAUUCCUUAUAAGCGGGUUUAUAAAAUAAAGCAGAAGGUUGAUGGAUCCAUUGAAAGAUAUAAAGCAAGACUAGUUAUUAAGGGUGAAUCUCAGCAGGAAGGAAUUAACUUUACAAAAAUAUUUUCUCAUGUUGUUAAGCUCACAACCAUCAAAUUCUUACUAACUCUGGCUGCUAAGAAAAUGUGGAUUGUUUUCCAGCUUGAUGUUAAUAAUGCCUUCCUCCAUGGUGAUCUCCAUGAUGAGGUCUACAUGAAGGUCCCACCUGGUCUUGAUAUUUGUGUCUAUUCUUCUUCUUCUUCUUCUUCUUCUUCUUCUUCUUCUUCUUCUUCUUCUUCUUUGGUUUGCAAACUCAAGAAGUCCCUCUGUUGCCUUAGGCAAUCUUUCAGGCAGUGAUUUUCAAAACUGUCUGAAGCUCUACUUUCUAAAGGCUACACUUCAAGUCUUAAUGAUUACUCUUUAUUCACCAAGUCUUCUUCUGAUUCUCUAGUUAUCUUGGCUGUGUAUGUUGAUGAUAUUCUAUUGACUGGUAAUGAUCUCUAUGAAAUGUAAUCUCUAAAAUCUUAUUUAGAUGCUACAUUUAAGAUCAAAGAUUUGGGUUCAGUGCACUGUUUUUUGGGUUUGGAGAUCUAUCUUCAUCCUCAAGGGUACAUCAUGAGUCAAUAGACUGACCUUCUCCCUAAGUUCAAUUGUCAGCAUUUCUCCUCUAUGUUGACUCCAUUGGAUCCUUCUGCCAAGCUCACUGUGGAUAUGGGGGAGCAUUUCUCUAAUCCUAGCUUGUAUAAGAGAUUGGUUGGGAAGCUGAAUUUUUUGCAAUAUGCUAGACCUGACAUCUCAUUUCCAGUACAACAUUUAAGUCAGUUUUUACAGAAACCUCAGGUUCCCCACAUGAUGGCUGCUUUGCAUGUACUUAGAUAUCUCAUGAAUGACCCUGCCCAAGGUGUUUUACUUUCAAGUUCUUCUGAUUUUUCCCUUCUAGCAUAUUCUGAUUCUGAUUGGGCAUCUUGUGCUAUAUCUCAUUGUCACAAUCCCAAUUUUCCUCCGUAGUAUGUCGUGAUGACACCUAGUCCUAAGACUAGGUAAGCCUAACACUUACUGAACUAAAAGAUAGAAUUUAACCAGAAACAACCAUUAAGCAUGAUACUAAAAUUUCUAUAGUAAACCAAUAAUCCUGAGUGCAAUUCAAUACCCAAAACCGAUAGUACAAGUCAUAAGCUCUACUGAGUUUACUAGAAAAAUCAGCUAAGUACAAUUGUUAUGGAAUAGAAAUAGACAGUACAAGUACAAUAUCAGAAGGUGACUCUGAGGCCUGCGAAUGCGACGACAGGUAUAUCUUGAGUCUCCGUAGCAAAAUCCGAACAGCUAGCUAGUGAUCAACCAACUCCGAAGUACCUAAGUCCGCACAAAAAUAUGCAAAAAGCGUAGCAUGAGUACACCACAUCGGUACCCAAUAAGUAUCAAGACUAACCUCGGUGGAGUAGUAACGAAGGACAGUCAAGACAACUACUAGAAUAAGCAACAUGUACAAGUGUGAAUGUGAAACUAACAAGAAAAGCUAUGUCAAUAUAAGACUAAGCAUGGUAAAGGUGACAAAACAUUACUCGCAAUAAAAAUACUAGAAACAACGAUUAGCAACAGGGAACAAACAAACAAUAAUGUCGUAAAGUGAGCUGAACACAGUGUAAGUCCGGUGAGACCAAGUAAUUAAAACAAGUAAUAACUCAAUAAGAGCAACCGCUUUCACACAAGAUUUAUUCAAGGAUUUUUUCGAGGUACUUCACCUCAUAGUUAUAUUUCACGGGUCCCAAUUCAUGAAUCCUAAUCACUUGGCAUCUUGUGCCCACAUUAUAAUUCAUAACCGCUCGGAUGACUCACAUGCCAAGGGAGUGAUAAUAUUUCAUACCCUCACGGACAACUCACAUGCCAGCAAUAAUAAUGACCUUUGAUCGUACAGACAACUCACAUGCCAAUUUAACAACUCUCACAGAGAAGGCAAGUAAACGAGAGUACAUGUAAAUGGUUCGUAACAUCAGGAUUCGCCUUUUUUAAAUGAUAUGGGCGAUUAAUUACUUGUAUGCUUGUGUAAGCGUUCUAUCACAACUCAAGUCAAUAAGUAAGAGUAGAGACAAUGAAUGGCACAUAGGGAACAAUCACCAAAAAAUGUGCAAUGUAUAACUCACACAAGGUUGGCACACCACUACACAAACAUCGUCACUAACAAUGCCCCCAGGCCAUCACAACUCAUCACAAAUUAUUCCCCGACAUAGCCCACCUUGUCUCGCCAUGUGCGCAACAGUAAAGUAAAUGUCCGCCUUGUCUCGCCGUACGCGCAUAAUAAUAUUCCCACCUUGUCUCGCCACAUGCGCAAACUCACAUAUAUAGCCCGCCUUGUUACACCGCAUGUGCAAAUAUCAAUAGUAACAAAAGCACGGACAACUCACGUGCGAACACCCUGACAAUCCUCUCAACAAUACCACGAGUGCCACAAACAUAACAAUACAAUAUAAGGUCUUUCACCACAUGUGCCCAUAUGCCACAACUUUCCCUCAAAACAAAUUUCAAUACCGCAACCACGCAUAUCCCUCGGGUCAAUAACACUGAGUACAAUAACAACAAUAAUAAUACGAGAGUACGACAAGUAAAUCAACACAAGAACUACAGAACACAAGGAAAUAGAAGAACGAGCUCACAAUGAAAGACAACACAGGUAUUAAUGGUUCCAACAAGAAUAGCUCAACAAGGAGAGAGAUAAUGUAUAACAACGAUUUCACAUAAGUAGAAUUCAACGAUAAGAGAGAUAGCAUAAAUUAAUGAUUCCAAAUAAGGAUAAGUCAACCAUGAAUGGGAUAACAAAACUUCAAUUAAGGUUAAGUAAUUACGGGAGAGAUAAUAAUAAUAACUUCAAUUAAGAUUAAACAAUUAUGGAAAAUAUAAUAAUAACUUCAAUCAAGGUUAAGAAAUUAUGGGAAGGAUAAUGAUAAUUUUGAUUAAGGUUAAAAAAUUAUGGAAAAAAUAAUGAUAACUUCAAUUAAGGGUAAGCAAGUACAGAAAAGACAGCAUGACAAUAAAAGAGGUGACAACUUCAAUUAAGGCACUUAAGAGUUUAUUGGCAACAAGGGUAGAAAACGAAUCAAUCAACUCCAAAUAAGACACGUAAGGGUGAAUUUAGUAAAUGAAGGAUUUAACAUGAUAAGACAACUUCAUUUUUAAUGAACAUAAGAACCUAAGAGCCUAAAACGGUCAAAUUCUCACAAAUAAACCCGAGUACGUACUCGUCACCUCGCGUACACGGCCUUCACUUGACACAAUUAGCACAACUGACUCAAAUCCUAAGGGGUAGUUCCCCCACACAAAGUUAAGCAAGAUACUUACCUCAAAGAAGCUAGAUCGAUACUCUAAAAUGACCUUCUCGUGUGAAACAACCUCCAGACGGCUCAAAUCUAGCCAAAAUAACUUAAUAUCAUAAAUAAAACCCAUAGGAAAUGAUUCCAAAUAAUAAAGUUUCGAUCUUGAAAGAGAAAUAAAAAGUCAACUCAAAAAGUUAACCUCGGGCCCACGUCUCAGAACCCGAUCAAAAUUAUAAAAUCCGAACACCCACUCGGUAACGAGUCCAACCAUACAAGAAUGACUCAAAUCCGACCUCAAAUCGCCUUUCAAAUCUCCAAAGUUAGUCUAAGAAGUUUUCACAAUGUUCCCCAAAUUUUUCACUUAAAGCACUAAUUAGAUGAUGAAAAUAAUCAUGGAUUCAUGAAAAAUAUAAUAAGAUUUGGGUAAAGAAUACUUAUCCCAAUGAAUUUCUUGAAAAACUCACGAAAACUCGCUUCUAACCGAGCUCCCUAGGUCCAAAUAUGAGUAAUGAAAAUCAAACCCUCGAUAAUAUACAGUCUGCCCAGGCCUUCGGCAUUUGCGGACAAAAUUUGCGCACAUGCUCUCUUGCUUUUGCGAACCAACACUCGCACCAUCGACCUUCACUUAACAGCCCAGAGAUAGCACCUGCGAGCCACCCAUCACAUCUGCAAUUCUGCAGAAGCGGACGACCAACUGGAGUCUCCAUUUCGCAUCUACGAUUAUUCUUCCGCAGAUAUGAUCUCGCACCUGCGGUCCCCCAUCAGCAGAAGCGAAGCAACAAGGCAUGCACCAACAUCGUAGAAGCAACCAAAAUCAUGUAGAAGCGUCCACGCGCCUGCGCUCCAAAAAUGCGCAGGGUGCGGCCCACCAGAACCAGGCUUGCCCAAAGACAUAGAAACCAUCCGAAACUAGUCCGAAACGUACCCGCGACCCCGUCCAAAUAUACCAACAAGUUCCAAAACAUAACGCAGACCCGCUCGAGGCCCCAAAUCACAUCAAACAAUAUCGAAAUAAUGAAUCGCACCUCAAAUCGAACUUAAUGAACUUAUGAACUUUCAACUUCUACAGCUCGCGCCGAUUCACAUCAAAUCAACCCGGAAUAACUUCAAAUUUUGCAUGCAAAUCCUAAGUGAUAUAACAGAGUUAAUCCAACUCUCAGAAUCAAAAUCUAAGUCCGUUAUUAACAAGGUUAACUCCCGGUCAAACCUCUCAACUUUUCAAACCUUCAACUUUCUAACUUUUGCCAAAAUACAUCAAAUUAGCCUACGGACCUCCAAAUCCAAAUUCGGACACACGCCUAAGUCCAAAAUCAACAUACGAAGCUAUUGAAAUCAUCAAAAUACCAUUUCAGAGUUGUCUACACAAAAGUUAAAUUUCGGUUAACUCUUACAACUUAAGCUUCUAAAACAAGAAUUAUUCUUCCAAAUUGAUCCCGAAUCAUCCGAAAACCGAACACGGCCACACACGCAAGUCAUAAUACAUAACACGAAGCUACUUGAGGCCUUAAGCCACCGAAUGGGACGCUAAUUCUCAAAAUGAUCGGCCGGGUUAUUACACUCGCAUGUCUGUUAGUGGAUAUUAUAUUACUCUUGGUGGCAGCCCUGUUUCUUGGAAGAGUAAGAAACAACCUACUAUAUCCUUGUCCUCUGCUGAAGCUGAAUAUCGGGCUCUUAGAUAAGUGGCUGCUGAAAUGUCUUAGCUGGUUAGGCUUUUGGGUGAUCUUGGCUUGUAUAUUACCAGCCCAGUUUCUGUUUUCUGUGACUCACAGGCUGCUUUUCACAUGGCUAAGAACCUUGUUUUUCACGAGCGUACCAUGCAUAUUGAGAUUGAUUGCCACUAUGUCCGUGAAUGUUUGUCUUCCGGCCUACUUACCCCCCAUUACAUCUCUUCAUCAAAUCAAUUAGCGGACAUUAUGACUAAGGCCUCACAGGACCGCCUCAUCGUGAGAUUCUUUGCAAGCUUGGUGUGGUAUCACUCUCAAGCUUGGGGGGGGGGGGGGGAGGGGGGGAGGGAACUAGACUGUUACUCAAGCCCAGUCCAACAAAGAAAAACAGUUGGCCCACUAAUCUGUAGUUAGAGACCCGACCCAAAUUGUACAUAUUUACUUUGUACUUUGCAACUCAUAUUAUUUGUAUCUUUUUUCUUUUCUAUACUUGUAAGUAUAUAGAGACAACAAAUAUGAAUAAAGAUCAGAUUGGUCAGAUUUUAUUUUCUCAUUUCUCACGUUUAUCUCUCUCUUCUUCAACCACUAGGGUUUUCUUUCUCGUUUGAUCCGCCAUAGCUCACAAUUACUCCAAGUUAACAAUAGAAGCGAUGACAUGAAUUUUAUACGAAAUACUUACAUAUUAAAAUACUUAAAUUUUUCUGACUGAAAGGAUAAUGUGAGAAGAUUAAUAUCCUCCAAUUUUGACCAUGAAUUCGGACAUAGAAUUUUUAAGUUCUUUUAAAUAAAAAUUUAUAUAUUUAAAAAUUACAUAGACAAUAAUAUAAUUCACAGUAAGAAACAAUUUAAACUAUUUAAAAGGUAUAUAAAAAAGUCAUGAUCAACGAACAAUUCCUUGACAACUCGUAAUUCGAAAAGUAUCAAAUCAUUUUUGAAACUGACUUACGUAAGACUCCAAAGCAUACUAUUAACUUAUGUAAGACUUUUCUAAGGAUAGCUUAUACAAAUGAAGAGCAGGUAAAAUAAAUGUUUUUGUGCACAUUGUCUUGCUGCUUCUCUAAGAAAAGAAAAAAAACACUGAAAUUCUGGUGCACUACAUAGUAAUAUCCAUUUGCUGCUAUAUUUGCUAAUUAUUGCACAACAAAUUAGCAUCGAGGAAGAUUAUCGAGGAUUUUCUGUGCUUCAUAUUAUGUUAUUACACUUUUGAAGUUUGCUGCUAAUUCAAGCAAUCUUUAGCAUUUCUAACAAAAAUGAGAAUUCUUCUCAUCUCUCCAGAUAUUGUUAAACAAAUCAACAUUCGAUAAGGGUACCAGUUUAUUUUCGGGAAAGAAAAUUCUGCUUAGCAUGCCUUCUCAGAAAUUAUUUUUCUACUUGGAAACUGGUACUAUUAAAAAUGAUGCCUUUUUAAACAUGCUUUAUAUAUUAAGAAGAACAAACCUAAACAACUAUCCACUCAACCAUUUAAAUUACAAAUAGUUGANNNNNNNNNNNNNNNNNNNNNNNNNAUAAUUUGUGUAUAAUCGUGUAUUAUAAGUAUAUAUAAUCAAUGUAUACCGGCUACGAAAAGUAAAUAAUAAAUCCAGUCAUCUACUUGUAUAAAGAUCCUUUAUAUUAAUUAUCCUCUCUUUCAGUUAUUCAUAAUUUGUAUUUACCUAAAAAGUUUAUUUUACAAUUUGUAAUAUUUUAGCUACGUUCAGUAUAGACUUCCCCCCUCCUUCCCCCUCCACCCGCAAAAAAAAAGGAGAAUACCAAUACUGUUGGUGUUAUUAUUUUGUAUUCAAAAUCAGAGAAUCAGAAGCCGUUAGUAUAAGAAAAUAAAAACAGAAAAUUCCGAGCCCACAAGUUUCUUGUAUGUCCUUAAGGAAUUUAAUACCCUCACAGUUGCCCAAGGUUUCGGAUUAAUUCCUCCCAGGAUAGAACGGAAUAACUUUCUGUGACAGCGGCACUUCAAAUCACAAAACUUCGGCGAACUCAAAUGGCAGAGCAAAUCACAGAAAAUGCUUUCGUUUUUGCUUUGAAAAACAAUACAGAAUGCAAAAGAUAGAGGGGAGAGAUUUUUCAGAUUCGGUAGUGGUAAAAUGAGGCUGAGCCUCUCUAUUUAUAGCCAACAACGUUGAGUCCCAACAGGUGCAAAGGUGCAUGUUCGUUUGAAGAGGUAUUUAUUCGACAAAAAGUUUGAAUUUCUAUUAAACAGAAUAUUUGGACGCGAAUUUGACCGUUGGAAAAUAAUACCGCAAAAUUCCAAUUAAUACUUUUCACGCAAAAAUAUUAGGAAAUGAAAUAUUAAUUGACGCAAAAGGAAAAUAAAUUUGGUCCAAAAAAUUAUUAAUCAAUCAUAUCAAUUGACCAAAUCUAAAUCCGAAGCCGAAGCCGAAGCCGAGCGGAGCGAGCGACGAUUAUGGCGCGAGGCUUGCUUUCUUCUUAACUCUUUAAGAGUUAGAAGAAGUGCUUCUAUAUAAAAGCACAAAAAUUUUCCUCUUUCUAUCCAAUGAGGGACAAAGUUCCUUUGUAAAAGGGACUAAUUCAAAAUUUUAUUUCCCUCAAUUUCUUUUUCAACUAUUUUUUAUUCACACCUCUUUUGUGUUAAUUAAUAAAAUCCAACAAUCCCCCACACGAAUGGGGAAUGGCUAUUCAGAAAAAUAUGCAUGAAAUAAUGGUUUGAUUCGCAAGUAAGGAUUAAUCGCAUCUGGAUAAGUAGGUUUCCCUUUGAACUUUCCGUAGUGAACAUAUGUCGGAUAUAUCAAUCGGUAGAUUUGAUAUCUUUGAACCGUCGAACUUUGGUUUAUACCUAGACAGCCAUACGUCACACAAUCAAUGCUUAACCGUCUUUGGUUCUCAUUGUUGUGUUCGUUCCAUCCAUGAACACCGCCUGGUUUCAUAAGUGCGUAGAGAACUGGCCUUACAAAAUUCUCAUUGAAGCGGCUUACACUUCACACUGCAUAUGUGACUUCUAAACGUGUUAUCCCGUAGAUACACUAUUUGAUAUACCCCAUAUCAAACUUAAAAACUAUUAAAAAUCCUUAACGUUUUAUCCUUGUUACUGAACAUUGUCUUUAUCAUGAGAAUGGACCAAAUUUUAUUCGAUAAUGUUGAACCGUCACUAAUGAUUUUGUUUGAUCUCCUUGAAUCUAGAUCUUGGGAUCUCUAGUCUUCUAGGUAGAGUUACCACCACAGUGACUUGUCCUCGGCCAUAGUCCUAUUCCCUUUGAUGACUUCCCAACCGCCUCUCUAGUUAGGCCUUUUGUAAGCGGAUCCGAUACAUUAUCUUUUGACUUUACAUAGUCAAUUGUGAUAAUUCCACUACAGAGUAGUUGUCUAAUGGUAUUAUGCCUUUGUCGUAUGUGAUGAGAUUUACUGUUAUACAUAACGCUCCCAGCCCUUCAUAUUGCCGCUUGACUGUCGCAGUGUAUGCAUAUAGGUGCCAAAGGUUUGGGCCAAAAUGGAAUAUCUUCCAAGAAAUUCCGGAGCCAUUCACCUUCUUCAUCGGCCUUGUCUAAAGCUAUAAACUUAGACUCCAUUGUAGAGCGGGCGAUGCAUGUCUGUUUGGAAGACUUCCAAGACACUGCUCAUCCACCAAUGGUAAAAACGUAUUCACUUGUGGAUUUUGAUUUUGUUGAUCUGGUGAUCCAAUUUGUAUCACUAUAUACCUCAAUAACUGCGGGAUAAUUAUUGUAAUGCAAUGCAUAGUCUUGGGUAUAUUUCAAAUAUCCCAAAACUGGUUUCAUUUCUAUCCAAUGAGCUUGGUCGGGAUUACUUGUAUAUCGACUAAGCUUACUUAUCGCACAAGGUAUAUCAGGUCGUGUACAAUUCAUAAUGUACAUCAAACUUUCCAACACUCUAGCAUAUUCCAAUUGAGACUUGCUUUGACCUUUAUUCCUUACAAGAGUAUGGUUUACAUCAAUUGGCAUUCUUGCAACUUUAAAGUCCAAAUAUUUGAAAUUUUCAAGUACCAUUUUAAUAUAAUGAGAUUGAGACAAAGCUAGACCUUGAGGAGUCUUAAGAAUCUUAAUUCACAAAAUUAAAUUAGUAACUCCUAAGUUUUUCAUACCAAACUUACUAGUAAGCAUGCGCUUAGUAGCAUUUAUGUUAGCAAUGUCGUUACUCAUUAUCAACAUAUCAUCAACAUAUAAACAAACAAUGACUAUUUGAUUUGGAGUAUUCUUUAUGUAAACACAUUUGUCACACUCAUUGAUCUUGAAAUCAUUUGACAACAUUGUUUGGUCAAAUUUUGCAUGCCAAUAUUUUGGUGCUUGUUUUAGUCCGCAUAGUGACUUAACAAGUCGACCCACCUUCUUUUCUUUUUCGAGAACUACGAACCCUUCAAUGUAACGACCUGAUCAGUCAUUUUGAGAAUUAGCAUCUCGUUCGAUGGCUUAAGGUCUCGAGUAGUUUUGUGUUAUGCAUUAUUACUUGCAUAUGUGGUCGAGUUUGAUUUUCGGAUGAUUCAGGAUUGAUUUGGAAGGAUGAUUCUUGUCUUAGAAGCUUAAGCGGUCAGAGUUGAUCGGAGUUUGACUUUUGUGUAGACGAUUCGGAUGAUUUCAAUAGCUUCGUAUGGUGAUUUUGAACUUAGACGUAUGCCCGGCUUUUGGAUUUGGAGGUCUGUAGGUUGAUUGAUGCAUUUUGGCAAAAAUUGAAAAGUUGAAGGUUUGAAAGGUUAAGAGGUUUAACCGGGAGUUGAAUCUAUGAAUAUCGGGCUCGGAUUGUGAUUUUCAGAGUUGGAAUAUCUCACUUAUGUCAUUUGGGACUUGCAUUCAAAAUUUGAGGUUAUUCCAAGUUGAUUUAAUAUAAUUCGGCGCGGAUUGUAGAAGUUAAAAGUUUAUAAGUUUAUUAAUUUCGAUUUGAGGUGUGAUUCGUAGUUUUGAUAUUGUUCGAUGUGAUUUGAGGCCUCAAGCAGGUCCACGUUAUGUUACGGAACUUGUUGGUAUGUUCGGACGAAGUCCCGAGGGGCUCGGGUAAGUUUUGGACCAUUUCUAAGCCAUUUGUAACUGCUGUUUUUUGGCCACAGGGGUAUGCAUUUCGAUCGCGGACUCUGGGUCGCGUUCGCGUAGAGAAAAUUUGUUGUCUGGGCACUGUGAAUUGCGAUCGCGGAAGUCUUUUCACGAUCGAGUAGAGGAAAUUCUAUUGUCACUAUCCCGAUUUUGGAAGCUCAUAUCUUGCAAUCUAUAAGAAAUUUGGAGAUGAUCCAAAAAUAAAAGUUGUAGCCCUUUGAGUUUACUUUUCAGAAAAUCAAACCAUUUGCCAGUUUGAGUUUUGUACAAAAGGUUAUGGCUAUUAAACAACAGACUAUCUGAGAAGAUUUUGGGAAGGGUAAUCGGAAUUUGUUCAUCGCGAUCGCGAAGGGUAAAAUUUGUGCUAAAAAACUUUUGAAUUGCGAUCGCGAGGUUGGUGACCGUGAUCAUGAAGGGUACCUCUAGAGCAAUGUUUAAGAUACUCUAUUUCGAAGGUGUUAGUCAUUUUAUCAUAUUUUGAGCUAUGUAGCUCGGAUUUGGGCGAUUUUGAAGAGGAUUUUCACAUUUUGGAUUGGGGUAAGUGUUUUUUAUCAGGAUUUAAUUAUAUUUCGUGAUUUCUUCUUUAUUUUUAACAUUAAAUUAGUGAUUUGAAUGGGAGAAAAAUGAGAAUUUUUGUAUAAACUUUCAAAAAUAUAAAAUGAGGAUUUGAAGCCCGAUUUGAUGUCGGAAUUGGAUAAUUUUGAUAUGGUUGGACUUGUAUCGGAAUGGCGUUCGGAUUUUAUAAAUUUUGUCGGGUUCCGAGGUGCGAGCCAGGGAUUGACCUUUUGGGCUGGCUUUUUAGUUUUCAUUAAAGAUCGAAACUUUAUUAUCCUGAGUUAUUUUCUAUGGUUUUUAUUUAUGAUAUUAAGUUAUUUUGGCUAGAUUUGAGCCGUCCGGAGGUUGUUUCACACGAGAAGGUCAUUUUAGAGUAUUGGUUUAGCUUCUUUGAGGUAAGUAUCUUGUUUAACUUUAUGUGGGGUAACUACCCCCUUAUGAUUUGAGUCGUUAGUGUUAUUUGUGUCAUGUGAAAGCCGUGUACGUGAGGUGACGAGUACGUACUCGGGCUUAUAUGUGAAAAAUUGACCGGCUUAGACUCUUAGGCUUCUUUCAUGUACUUAUUUGAAAUUGUUAGCACAUGUUAUAUCUUUUAUUCAUCAUGUCUACUAUCACAUGCUUUCUUUGAAGUUGUCGUUACAUGUCACAUUCUUUACUUGUCAAGUUUUCUCUUAUAUGCUUUAUUUGAAGUUGUUAUCAUUUUUAUCAUUAUGUGAUUUUUUUAGUGAAGUUACUCUUAGUUGAAAUUGCUGUUACAUGAUAUCCUUUUGUUGCUGGAUUAUUCUCAUGCAUUUAGACGUAAAACUAGUUCAUUCUAUCUCUUUCAUUGUUAUCCUAAUUCAUACAUUAGAAUCUGAAGUUUGCCAUUUCAUAGAAAUACUUUCACUAUCGAGUUUAUCCUUAAACAAUUAAUUGGAUUUGAUAUUAUCGAAAGAAUUAAUCUAUUUUAAUUGAAGUUGUGUUUAAAGGGGGUGUUGUUCCUUGUUGAGUUACUUUUCUGUUCAUUUUGUUAUUAUUGAGAUUCCAUGCACAUUGUGUUUGAGUCGUGGGCUAUUUGUCGUGGAAAUAUUGAUAUUGUUGGAUCUUUGAAAAGGUCGUGGCCUAUGAGCACUUGUGGUAUGAGUUGAUAUGUCGUGUUGUUGUGACGUUAGGAAAUGUGAAUUGUUGUGUGAUUUGGUUGUUGUUAUGCAGAGUAUGAGGGUGACAUUUCACCAUUGUUUUUAUGCGGGGCAUAAGGGUGGCAUCUCACUGUUGUUGAAUGUACAGAGUGAUAUGGGUGGUUAUUGUGUUAUUGUCCGGGCGGAGUGAUAAGGGUGACUAUUAUACGGAAUGAUACGGGUGGCGAAUGAUAUUGUCAGGGCGGAGUGACACAAGUGGCUAUCGGAGAGAUAAGGGUGGCAAUGUCAGGGAUGAUGUGUGAUGGAUUUGGGACAUUGUGUUGGUGAUUUUUUUGUGAUGGUGUGCUUUUCCUUGUGUAUGUCAUACACCUUACGUGACUUAUUGUGUUGCUUUGAUGAGCUACUCCAUAUCUUUGAUAUUACUUGUUGACUUGGGCUGCAGUAGUACACUCGCACAAGCAUACACUAUAGCAUGCCACUUAUACUAGCUCAGGAGUAUGAAACUUGACAUUUGUUAAUCAUGCCCAUAUGUUAUUGUAUUAUCUGUUUUCAAGUUGCUGUUGAGCCUGUGACCAUGCGGGGCAGAUUGUGACUGUGCGCCUGUGAUCAUGCCGGGCGAAUUAUGAUUGUGAGCCUGUGACCAUGCCGGGUGGAAUGUGAUUGUGAGCCUGUGACCAUGCCGGGUGGAUUGUGAUUGUGAGCCUGUGACUAUGCCAGGAAGAUUGUGAUUGUAAGCCUGUGAUCAUGCCAGGUGGAUUGUGAAUGUGAGCAUGUGAUCAUGCCGGGCGGAUUGAGAUAUUGGCACGUGAGUUGUCCGUGCGGUUGUGAUUUGAGAUGUGGGCACAAGGUGCCAUGAUCAUAUGAUGGUAGGUUAAGACACUUGACUUGUGACUAGGAGAUGAAGUAUCUUAGGUAAUUUCAUUGCGAAAUUGUGUUAGAACGGCUUUAUUAAUUGAUUGUCAUUUGUGUUCCUUUUUGGUUUCAAUGGUACUUUCAUGGUGUUCUUAUUGCUUUACUAUUUAUAUCACACGUCGAUUCUUGUUGCCAUUUACUGAUUCCUGCUUUCCUUUAUUAGCUUUAUACUUCUAUAUUGCACAUGUUAGUUUGUCUAGUGGGUGUCUUGAUUUGUACCUCGUCACUACUCCACCGAGGUUAAUCUUAAUACAUACUGGGUACCGACCGUGGUGUACGCAUACUACACUUUUGCAUAUUUUUGUGCAGAGCCAGGUAUUAGAGAUAUCAGACUCGGGCAGAGUUAGCUUAUUGGUCUCGAGGAUUCAAGGCAGAGCUGUUUGGUCGUCGCAGUCCCUUGGAGUUCUUUCCUUUCAUUGUACUGUCAGCUUGUUAUUUGAAAAGUAUUGUAUUUCGAUCUUUAAGAUCUUUCCAUGUACUUAGCUUGAUUUCGU